UCCCCAUCUCUAGUAACCCGAGGGUGGACAGCAGUCAUGAGGAGGAAGGAGCAUCCCUGUGACACAGCUCCUCUGGGAAAGCUGUGAAGGUGCGGGUCACAUGUGACACCAUCAGCUGCAGCAUCUCAGGUGAGCGCUGCUCUCAGCCUGGGCCAGAGAAGCUUCUCCUUGCUGUGGGCAACAAUCAAUCCCAUGACUAAUAAGUCGUCAAAUGCUAAGAGUGUCCAGCUUCCCCCAGGAGAUCUACAUCACCCCGCUAAGGUCCAGGGAGCAACAGCAAAGAAGUGAGUGAAAGAGUGCAGUGUUUGGAGGUCACAGUCACCACGGUAAGAGGAAAGAGAGGAAUAGGAGAGCAUCACAGCACAGAAGGAAGAAAGGG
Long non-coding RNA from Grammomys surdaster, 379 nucleotides. RefSeq lists it as uncharacterized. Lineage: Eukaryota; Metazoa; Chordata; Mammalia; Rodentia; Muridae. The transcript is spliced from 3 exons. The record is from RefSeq and is a predicted model, not a curated record.